GUUCAAGAGUACGUGAAACCGUUCAGGGGUAAACCUGAGAAACCCAAAAGAUCGAAUAGGGAGAUUCAUCGUCAGCAUGUCUCGUAUAUGUAUGAGUUAUGAUGCGGGUUACUUUUGUAUUGCUUGCACGUUCUUGUAUAUUUAAUUGCGGGAUAUGUCGGCGUGCACUUCUCCCUUAGUAGAACGUCGCAACCCGUUGAGUGUUGGUUUAUGACCCGAGUGAGAGUCUUUAGCGUUUUUUACAUUGAAAAUCCUGGGGGUUCUAACUAAUGGUUCGACGGUACUCGUAUGGUAUUAAGUCGAAUACUUUAGGCGCCCAUAUCUGUCACAAGCAAGGUUAAUUUCGGGCAGUACGGACCUAGUGCCGCCGUUGAAUUUGACCAGCUGUUGGUUGACGGUAUUCUAGGACUGACUUAUACCGGUUAGCGAUGCUACUGCUUUGGGUACUUUCAGGACCCGUCUUGAAACACGGACCAAGGAGUCUAACAUGUGCGCGAGUCAUUGGGAUUAUUUAAAUUAAACCUAAAGGCGCAAUGAAAGUAAAGGUUGUCCUUGCGUCAACCGAGGGAGGAUGAGUUGUUUCAAGAUUCAGCUCCGCACUCCCGGGGCGUCUCAUUUUCUUUGAAAAGAGGCGCAC
Molecule: ribosomal RNA, 637 nt
Filed under: Spathius aff. spectabilis AZR-2017
Lineage: Eukaryota; Metazoa; Arthropoda; Insecta; Hymenoptera; Braconidae
Description: eukaryotic LSU rRNA
Rfam family: Eukaryotic large subunit ribosomal RNA
Source: RNAcentral